UUGGCCCUGAAUCAAGGCUAGUGGCUUGUUGUAGUCACUGGUUUCAAGCAGGAGCCCAAAGGAUUGUCUUUCUGUGGUCUGUUGACUGUUCUUUACACUCAUAUUGGAAUAGUCAAUUCAGUUGAAAGCAACAUCU
RNAcentral lists this small nucleolar RNA (136 nucleotides) under Salvator merianae (Argentine black and white tegu). Lineage: Eukaryota; Metazoa; Chordata; Lepidosauria; Squamata; Teiidae. The record is from RNAcentral.